UCCGUUAAUUAGCAGGUGCGCAAACUCGUAGCUGGUCGCCUACGACUUAUUUACAUAUGGCGGCCAAGUGUGAACUUUCUCUUUCGGCAAAAAUAUUGAAUUAAUGAAAUGAGAUUUAUGUUGAAAAUGGGAAGCUAAAAAUCAACAUGUCCGUUUUGCAGGAAGAGUAAUAGAUAACUAAUUGUAAACAAGAAGAAUGAGCAAGCGAAAGGUUUAUUUGAACUGGGCUAACUCAGUUUUAGCUGAUAUAGAUAAAGAAGUAGAAGGGAUCUCCAGUAUACAGGAAGGACAAGUGCUAUGUCAGCUGAUAGAUCUUCUCUGUCCAGAAGCAUGUCUUCUUCAGAAACUACAGGCUUCAGGGACAUCCCAGUUACCAGAACUGUACAUACAGACAGCCUUAGACCACAUGAGGAAGUAUGGCAUUAAACUCAACUUCUCCAGCCAGGAUAUAGCAGAUGGUGAUAUUAAAUCCAUGUUAGAUGUCUUGUGGCUUAUCAUACUUAAUUACGGGAUACACAAUAUAAGUGCAUAUUGUGAUGAUUUUAACACAAGGAGAAAUGCCCAUCAAAGAUCUGUAGGAAUUGGAAAGAAACUUUUAUUGGAAUGGUGUCAACGACAGCUAGAUACAGAUUUUGAUUCUAGGAAUACACUCACAUACAACCUUUGCACUGGUGACUGGUUCAUCAAAUUACUGAAGAAAUAUUCCAGCGUUUCUGCCAUUGCUUCAGAGGAUAAAACUGAGCAGUUGAAGAUCCUUUUGGAUUCAAUAGAAAAACAGUAUUCAAUUAAAAGCAGUAUUAUAAAUGCCUCAGACAUUGUAGAUGGUACAGUAGAUGAGCAUACGUUGAUGAUCUUUGUUUCCCUCCUACAGAGAAAGGUUGAUGGCAGUAGUCUUAUAGAUGAAGGAUCUUCAAGGUCAGAUAGCAGAAAAAAUCCUUCAGAUGAAACCUCAGACUGGUUUUCUACAUCUAAUGGUUCAGGAUCAGAUCCUCAAUUUUCUAGGUUACCAGUAGAAUCAGAAAGUAUAUUAACAAAAACUAUCAGCGAUACAAUUUCUGACCGAUUUCUCGAGGAAGACAAAUUAAGUGCCUUAUCAGGAUCUACUUAUGAUUCAAGGGACAGAACUCUAGAGAGAGAAAGUUCACCGCAUAGUCGUCAUAUUAAUGGAAGCUAUGAACCAAAAAGAGAAAGUAAAUUAACAAGUGAUACCGUCAGAUCAACAUCUCCAUUACGCAGACCAAGAGAUCAUAAAGCAAUAAUGGCGGAGGCAAAGGAAAAAUUAGAAGAGCAAAGACGUAGAAGGGAAGAUGAAGAUCAAAGAGUUAGGGAAAAUGAACAGAAACUUUUUAAAGAAACGGAAGCUAAAAAGAUUGAUACUAGUAUAAAACAUGAUUCAGUGAGGUCGUCACAUGAUGACAUAGAGGAAGUGAUGCGUGAAAACUUGCCACAAUAUUCAACUGGUCCCCCACAGUACUUACCUGGACUAGGGAGAGGUGUUCCAAUUUUCGUGGUACCAGGUCAGAAUCCAGAAACAAUGUUUUUAUUACAAGCCUUGCGUCAGGCUCGUCAUGAAGCAAACUUUCAUGAUCAAGACUCUAGUUCAAAAAGUUCUUCAGAGGAAACUCUUCCUAAAGCUACACUAUUAGAUUUAGAAACUGUUGAUGACAUCCCUCCCUCAGAAUAUCUUCAGUUUGAAUCCGACAAGAAAGCAGAAAUGUCAACUCCUCGUGGUGUUUCACCAAGAAGAACAAAUUAUGUUCCAUCACCUGAAUUUUUACCUACGAAAAAAUCAAUUAUUGAUGUACUUGGAAAUCCACCAGAACCACAAACUAAUGUUGUGGAAUUUCCUUCUUCAGAAAGAGAAACCAGUAGACAUUUCCCACGAGUGGAAAUAAAAGAAGAUGUUAAGGUGAGAAGAGAAAUGGGAAGAGAUCAGAGUGAUGAAAGAAUGUCACCAAGAAGAGACAAUUCAAAUCGACCACUUUCUCCUGGAUAUGAUUUCAUUGAUGAAACUGUUUCUAUUAAUGAUAAAGACACUGUGCCAAAAACUAUUCUUAAAAAGUCAUCAAAUUAUGGAACUUCAAGUAGGGAUUCAAGUUAUGAAAAAACAAGAGAUAGGUCACAAAGCCCAAGGUCAAGUGAACAUGAAAGUGGAUUACGUUCAAGAUCACCACGGGAUCAGAUGGAAAGAGAUCGUUCUUUAAGUAAUGAUAGGACACCUUCUGGUAGAUCAUUAUCACCAAGAUCUAAUAGAUCUCCAAGACAUAGAUCACCUGAUCUAGAUAGGCUAACUGAAAAUUAUGACAGAAUUCAGUCUGGUAAUCAACAUCGAGAUACAGCUCCUGGGAGUAAUUCAGAUUUGGUUGAUCCUAACACGAGACUUGUCAAAGUAUUUCAUCAGGAACUGGAUCUUCUUCGGAUGAAAAUGGAGAUGCUUGAAAAAUCACAUGUACCAGAUGACGGCGAUUUAGAAGAUUUGAAUUCAUUAACACAGAGAUUAAGUGAAAAGAUAAAAGAAAGGUUAAGUAGCAGAUCACCUCGCUCACCAAGGUCACCUAGACAAAGGUCGACCUCACCAGAUUACACAAGAGGUAGACUUUUUCGAAAGAAUGAUAUGGAAUCUCGUUCUUUAUCUGAGAACCGAGUCUCGCCAUCUUCCGAUUGGAGGACUUUGCCUAGUGAAAAAUCUAAUAGUUUACACAAUUUGCCAGUAAGCAUAGAUAAGUCACUUAAAGUGGAUGAUGAUGGGAAAUUACUUUAUUCACCACGGUCACAAGGCAAGCCAAUUACUUUAGGAUAUAGUAGUCCUAUUAGGAAAGUUUCCGAUGAAAUUUGGGGAAUGAGAGAAGAAGAGUUUGCAGGUGUUACAAACGUGCAAAAAGAAAAAUGGAAGAAACUUACUUCUUCCUGUGAUAUAUCAGAUAGCGAUAUUGUAGAAUUGAAACACGCUUUAGGAACAGUAGUUGCUGAAAAUGACAUUUUACAAGCUAAACUUCGAAAUUCAAAUACUGACAUUCAAGAAAAAAUGAGAAAAACAGGAGAAGUUUUAAAUGACUGUAGAUGUCAUUUAUCAAAAGCUCAAGCUGAAAAUAUGGAAUUACGCACACAGUUAGAAAAAGAAAGAAAUAGAAACGAAUCUUUAGAGGCUAGAAUGAGAGAAUUUGAAAAACAAGUUAAAGAUCUCAAAGGUGUUAAUAGUGAACUAGAAUCUGAACUAGAAGAUACCAGAAAGUUACUCAAGGGAUCUAGUAAAAAGGAUAUUCCAACCAUGCAGUCAUUGGCAGAGGAGCGAGAUGGACUUGUCGAGGUGUUAGGUACAACUCAGACUGAAAAUGAAAGACUCAGAGAGGAACUGGAGAGAGCACAGAAAUAUGCAUUUAAAGCACAAACUACUAUUGUUGACCUUAAAAAAAUUGUUGAUGAUGCCAGAAAAGAAAGACAACAAUUAUUUGAGGAAAUAACUAGAUUACAAAGUGAAGGUCACCUUCAAACAAUCACUGGAAUUAUAAAGAAGUAUAUGGACAAAGGAAUAUAUUUAGAUGUUGAACCAAUAAAUGGUUUUAAAAUUCCUAGCAGAUCAGCUUCUCCAACACCUAACGAGAGACGCUGUUCUCCAGUACCCAAACAGAGGCUCAGUAGAUCAGUAGACAGUGUGAUAUCACCAAGGUCAAGGUCAAAGUCACCAAGGGUAGAAACUCCAACAAAGCAUGAGCAUGAAAAUACUGGUAGCAAAUCCUGGUCAAUGUCUGCUCAGCAAACUUAUUCAGGACUUAGUCGUUCAUAUCAGGAACCAACUCCUAGUCAACGCUCUUAUCAGGAUCCUGCUCAGCGAUCUUAUCAACAUUCAAAUCAACGUUCCUACUCACCCGCUCGUCAUUCAUACAAGGAACCAGUCAUGGCUAGCAGUCCACUCAAAACUCCAUACGGAAGAGUUAACGGACUAUCAAUUCCUGUUACACCAGUAGUUAAUGAUAUUAUAUCUGAUGACGACGAUGAUGAUUUUGAUGAUGAAGGCAUUGAAGGAUUUCAUUACAAUUACGAAGAUAUUUCGCCAUCAGUUACAUCAAAUUUAAAAGAAAUUUAUCCUCAUAGAAGAACAAGGUCUUAUAGAAAUAACUUUUCUAGUUCUUUCGAUGAAGGUCGUGUGUCACCAACCGUAGACGAUAUAGAAGUGAACAGAAUAUUAUCACGUCAUCCUGUUAGGUUAGACUUUAAUGAUACAGCUGACAGUUAUAGAAGUAGGUCACCAAGAAGGGAAGAUAACUUUAAUGUGAGCUAUGAGCGAAGCAAAAGUCCAGGCCGUUUAGAUAUAGCCGAUUUAUAUGAAAUGAAACAGCCAGUACGACAACAGAAUUACAACAUCUAUGGCAAUACAAAUAGAAGACCUGUGGCAAGAAGUGAAUCACCUAGUAAUAGAUAUUCAGAUCAGAAAAAUUACAAUGGUAAAUCAGGAGAAAUAAACAAUAGACUAUUUAUGGCCGCUUUAGAUAAUGCCGUCCAUGAAGAGGGUUCUAAAAAAUAUUACGAUGAUCAUGACAUUCCUGAAAAAGAAUCAUGGCGAGACCGUAAAGAUCGGCUUUCAUCAAGCUAUGGGCCUGAAGUAUCUCGGGCAGCUAGAACUGGUGUACGAAGUAACGGGGUCAAAGGAAUUCUUAAGAAUACAAAGGGCGAACAAAACUAUAUGAUAAAACACGGAACCUCAUCGCCUCUACAUCGAUCUGUUUUAGAAAGGUCAGUUUCCCCUGCAGCAAAAACGCCACCAAAUAAUAGAGACAUUAACAAAAAUUAUAGCAAGCUAGCAAAUAGUAGUUUAGCAAAUAACAAAACUUUUGGUAAUUCGGGUAAACCAUCAUUAGCUUCAGCUAGUUCAGGCAAGCCCUUGUUUUCAGGAGCUAGUAAGAAAUCUGGCAUUGUACGGAAUCCUAAGGAUUUAUUUGCUGAUGUUAGUCUUUCUCCUGUACGCACCGCUUCACCAUCUAAAUAUCAGCACACACCACUAUUAACUGUCAAAUAAAACAGGGUGAAAUUGCACACUUGAGAUUCCCUGCACAUUUAUUUCCACAUUUAUUUCACGCAUUUGUGUAAAUGUUGUAAUGUUCAUGUUGAUGUCUACUCAAUUGUUUAUCAUGAAUUAAUUGUUUAUGUUUUUAUUCUGUAUCAAUAUAUACUGUUGCUUCAUGUCCUGUGUUCAGUAUAUAAUAUAUAAGUUACCAAUGAAAGUCAGAUUUAUUUCAUUGCAGUGCCAUGUUCUGUUUUGCAAUCUUCUUACAACAAAUCUUGCAAUAAAUAAAUUGUAUUCAACUUCUUACUUAUUUUUUAUAUAUUAAAAAACAUUUAAAUAAUUUUAUUUGAUCACUUUUAAAUGUUUCUAAGUGCAUUUGACAUUAUUGAAAUCAGAAAAUGGCAUUGAAAUGUUCUGAUGAAACUAACAGUUAGUGUUUGGAAGUUUGAGAUAUUUAUAUAUUCACCUCCAAGAAUUAUCUACUUGUCAUAAAGUUGAAUAUCUAGAGUUACUUGCCCUUUAUUUUUGGUGUCCACUUGGAAUUCACUUACAUAACUCCCAUUGGUGACUUUAUUAAUUUGAAGGAUUACUUUUGUGCUAUAUUAUUCUGAAAUAAAUUCUUCCCAAAAAAAGGGGAAUACAAAAGAACUCUAUAUCUACAUUGACACUCAAAAAUUACAAAUCUGUUGUGCAAAGGAAGAUAACUCUAGAAUGAAAAUGAUUGACAAGUAGAGAAUAAAUACUAUAUAUGGAUGUUCUCUAAUUCUAUAGUAAGCAUCUGUAUAAGAAGCACAGAAAAAUCAUCCAUUAUUUAAUUGUGGUUUAAUGAUGACAGAAUAUUUAAAUGAAAAAAAGUAUUUGUAGAACAAAACAAGCAUAGAAGUUCCUGUCAAAGAAUAGAUACAUGAAAACAAAGCAUAUUAAAUCACAUUGUACAAAUGUAAUAUGUAUUUUAGUCCUUUAUGGAGGUUCAGACGUUUUUCAAUUUCUCUGUGCUUCUUUCCUUUAUUGUUGACCUUCAACUUUAAAAUUUGGUGUGGUUGACCUUGAAUUGCAUUAACAGCAGCAAAUAGAUUUUAAAAAAUCAUUAUGAUACAAUUUUUGUGGGAUAUAUAAACUAGUCAUAUUAUUUACAAUGCUAAUUACAGGUUUUUUUUAUGGUUUAAUAAAAACAUUAAUAUACUAAUUUUAACAAUACUUUUCAACAACACAAAUUUGUUUCAUCAGUUUUUCACAAUUAAAAUAUGUUAUGUUCAAAACCCAUCAAUUUUAUGAGGUAGAUAUAUAAAAUAUAUCUCUUAAGUGGUGUUAUAUAAAAAAAAAGCGUAAAUACAUAAAUGCUAUCUAUACUCAACCAUUAUAUAAUCAAGAAUUCUACACACUGAGGGAAUACUCUAUUGUUCUACCAUAGCCUUUAGACGAAAUCAGAUUUCUGUAUCUCUCUAUAAGUAGACAAUCUUCUUUUGCACAGUGAUUCUCCUAUACCUCAAUUAACUGAGGAAGAAAAGAGAUAUGCAGAUCUACUUGUAGACAAAUAUACAAAGCAGCUUGGAUUCAAUACCAUUUACAGCUGAAAUUAUAGAUGUCCAAGUUACAGAAUUAAUUGUACUAGUGCUGCUACUUUCCGUUAAAAGAUUUUUUAUAUCUCUUUUCUGUAUUUUAUGAAUUUUGCUAGACAUUUUUCUCACAGAAAAAUCAUUGAUUUUCUUUUUUGUGAAAAAUAACUAUUAAUUGUUGUCUCCCUUACAUUGUGAAACCUGGUUAAAGGGGAGAUAAGCAAAUUUUGCUUGUAAUUUUUUGUAGAAUCUUUUUCUCAUAUAUUUCAAAUGUGAUUUUAUUUAUUGCCCUAUUUCUGCUUUAUGUAUAUUGAUAUGCAGUUCAUAUAUGAUUAAGCAUUACCGCAGCUAGUUUAUUUAAACUAGAAAAAGUUUUUCAAGAUUUCUUACAUUAGGUUUUUAUAGACUUUUAUAAUGAGAGAAGGAACUGUUUAAAAUGUUCAUCAAAUUUUGCCACCAAAAGGUGCUUUAGAUAGAAAAAAGUCAGUAUUUGAAUUCUGAAAAUAGAACAGUUUUUUUUAUCUUCGCCAGUAUAUGAAGUAAUUAGGAUUGUUUUUGUAUUCACAAGUGUUAAAUUAUGUGUUUUAAUGCGAAAUGCUGUGAUAGUAUUGCUAAGUUAUUUAUUUUUCAGAUAUUUUUUUUAUUAUUAUUAUUUGCCCCAUCCCACAUUUAAGGGGGGGGGGGAUCUAUCAGAUUAUCAGAUUUACCUAACUUCAAUUAAUAAAGUCCAUAUUUAUAAUAUUCCAUGAUGGAAUUAUAAAUAAAGUUCUAUGUUCAGUACAAUAUUUGGGUGACCGUGAGUUUAACCUACAUUUCAAAAUUGUAUUUUAACACACUGUACUACAGUCUUGAACAGUACCAGACUCUUCAGCAUCAUUUAUGUGAUUAAACCAAUAUUUAUAUUAUUGGACCAAAUAUUUUUUCAUUUUUUGAAUGGGACACUUGUGUCUUACAGACACAUCAUGUAUUUUUAAAAAAUUUCAUUGUUAUAAUAUCAUUUUAUUUAUAAAAUUCCAUUCCGUCCAAAUUUGUUUUGUAGCUUUUAAUUAAUAUAUUGUAUUUUUAUCCAUACUCCAAAUCCACUAUGUCUUUGAUUGAAAAUAUUUCUCUUUUUUAAAGGUUUUACAAGUCAUGCAAGUGUGUAGUACAUGUACACAUUUUUCAAAAUUUCUAAUGGUGUAUAAUUUUUUUUAUUGUUUUAUGUCAUGUUACAUUUGUACUUCUUUUUGUGAAAUUUUGUUUUUUAUAUCUUGUAAUGAAGAAUAUAAGUUAUCACAAAUUAGAUUAAAAAAUUUCUAUUAUUUUUGUUUUAAACUUUUAAUUUUACACUUUUAAAAGAUCUUAAAUGAUAAAAUCCAUUUUUUAUUUGACAUCAUUUGAUGUUUUUAAAAAGCAUUCUUCUUGAUAAUAUUAUAAAGCAUUUAUCCAAUAUCUCAAGUUUAAUCCCAUUUGUAUAAAAAACAUAAUUUUUUUAAUCUCAGGAUUCAUAAGUAUAUGCAUUUAAAAAAUCCAAUUGCAAGUACAUAAAUAUAUAUAUGUUGACUAAAAUUAUUGAAUUUAUCCUUCAAUCAGGUACUUUUUGUAUAAAUAACAGUUUAACAAAUAAUUUUUUGCUUUGGUCCUGCUUAGAAUAAUUGUAAUGUAAAAAACCUCACAGUAAGUUUCCAGGUCCUGUUCAUGGCGCUAGUUGAUUUCCAUGUUGAUUUCUAUAAUUUAGAAGAGAUUGUUUGGGAUUUACAAAAUUUAAUUUUAAAAGCAUUAAGGGUAAAUUUUGUACUCACUUUGAAACAGGAGGAAAGCUUGAGAUACAUCCUUUUUGUACUGUUUCAUAAGCCUUCACAAAUAAAUUUCAUUUGUUGCCUAUUAUGUAAUAUUUUAUAUGUAUUUUUGUCCCCCGCUAUCAAAGGACAAGGUGCAAAUUGUUUGUCAUUUGUUCAUUUGACGAGGAAGCGUUUAAACAAAAACACUUUAUUCUUAUUUUCAAAAUUUUUAUUUUUUUAAUUAGUCCAAGAUAACUUAACUGUUUUCAGUAUUGUGAUGGUUUCCGUCCAGGUAGAGGGAAAGUAAUUUAUUUAAAUUUUUACAUUUUUAUCACAUUCCAUAUUUAUAUAUAAGCAUCAUCUGUGAUAUAUUUUAUAAUAAAUUAGUAUUUAUAAAUUUGUAUUAUUUUUCUUAUACAAAAGUCCAUGUAAGUGCAUUAUUCAUAUUUUAUUUUAUUGCCUGCAACCAUAGUUUCAGUAGCAUGACUUUGGCCUGCUGCAGUUUCUGCUGGCUGCAUCACCAAUUAUUUAAGUUUGUGAUUAGGUGGCAAAAUCAAGACAUUUCUCUUCAAAACAUUUAAUUAAUAUGAAACAGUUCACCACUCCAAAAGGUUGAGAAUUAUUUCAUUUUCAUCAUUUUGAAUUGUUUUUAACAGUUAACAGUUCCUAAAGGGU
RNA transcript from Mytilus trossulus (common blue mussel), 8993 nucleotides. RefSeq lists it as uncharacterized. NCBI's taxonomy places the organism in Eukaryota, Metazoa, Mollusca, Bivalvia, Mytilida, Mytilidae. The transcript has 15 exons. The record is from RefSeq and is a predicted model, not a curated record.